GUAAAUGACCUACAUGCUCUCAAGAAGACUUUCACGGAUAGGGAACUUGUCCGAAAAUUCCUUAGAAGUCUCACUCCGGCAUGGCGAUCAAAGGCCAACGCGAUUCAAGAGUCCAUUGGUGUCUCAAAUGUUACCAUCGACGCAUUAAGAGGUAAUCUUAAGACUUAUGAAUCUACUAUACUUAACCCUCUUGUUGAUGAUCAAAGGAGGCAAAGAAUCG
RNAcentral lists this long non-coding RNA (220 nucleotides) under Nicotiana benthamiana. Its description in RNAcentral is "long non-coding RNA (NBEN_LNC020620)". The record is from RNAcentral. Lineage: Eukaryota; Viridiplantae; Streptophyta; Magnoliopsida; Solanales; Solanaceae.